This 1165-nucleotide long non-coding RNA is filed under the name Cervus hanglu yarkandensis (Yarkand deer). RNAcentral describes it as "lncRNA (ENSCHYG00000005498.1)". Lineage: Eukaryota; Metazoa; Chordata; Mammalia; Artiodactyla; Cervidae. The record is from RNAcentral.
AAGAACUGAGAUGCUUCGCUGUGGAUUCGCGGACCCUCACCUCAGCCCUGGAACUGCCUUUGGCCAGUGAAACUCGAGAGGAGCCCCGUCCCGAGAAGCUCCAAGGAGAAGGAGGAGAGGGAAAUCCCCGCCUUGGGGAUCCAGGCUGCGGAAGUCACCUUCACCAGGCUUUGCUCUGGAGCUGUGAGGGGUCGCGGCCCGGGUAGCCCUAUUUCCCCAGCUCCCCGAUAGACAGAGAGGAUGAAAGAAGUCAUCUCACAUGAUGGGACUUUUCCCUGAGCCCCCUGGCUGACUGACUGCUCUGACUGAUCAAUCUCUGCCGCUGAGAUGUGCCGGUCCUGUGACCCCCAUCCUUCCAGUGCUUCACUUCUCUGGACUCUGAAGGCUCUCUGGCCACGGUGUUGAUGGGGACGUGUGGCUGGCAGUUUCUGGUUUUGCUUUCCCUCCCUCUCCUUUUUCUAAUAGCAGUCUGAAUAGCCAGUGCCUCUCACAGGAAGCUUUGGGGUUUGGCUCAGUCCACACUGUUCGUUUGAACACUUCAAUAUUUAACUUGCAGAAUGGUUAAUGAGUUAUGGGGACAAUCAGAAUCAGACUGUGAUCAUGGCGAUGGAAGACAACAAGGCCUUGAUCAUCCAGCCAAUUGUUGGACAGAAGCUGGAAAAGUUUUCUCCCCAAGACUUCUGGCAAUAAAGAUGGGAUGGUUGGGACUCUCCACUCUCAGGGGACUGCUGCUGAGAUCCCAGGACCUUUGACCAUGCCAGCGAAGCAUUCUUCACAGCAUCUCAGGGACUACACAGCAAGUCUUCACCAGCUCCUCCCUUUUCAAAGAGGAAUGAGAAGAGAAAGGGCUUUUAGCAAGUGUAUUUGGUUUUGUGCUUGUGGAAUUCAUUUGAAUUUCCUGAAGACAUCCUGGUGAAUGUGAGCCAAAGGAAUUGAAUAAUAAUCCAGAACUGGUGAGAUGAGCUCAAAUAAGACACUGUCGCUUGCUUUUUCUUCAAGUAUGUGUGCAUACUAAAAGUCAUCUGCUAAGAGAUACUAGAUGAAAAUUUAGGAACAUGAUGUGAUUGGCUGUAUUUUAAUCUACGUUAGUCUCUUUUGUCUAUAUCAUUAGAAAAAACACUUUACUGAGCUGUAAUUCCCUUACCAUAAAGUUCACUCUUUUAAA